Castor canadensis (American beaver) is the source of this 325-nucleotide long non-coding RNA. RefSeq lists it as uncharacterized. The record is from RefSeq and is a predicted model, not a curated record. NCBI's taxonomy places the organism in Eukaryota, Metazoa, Chordata, Mammalia, Rodentia, Castoridae.
GAAGAAAAAAAAAAAAGAAAAAAGCAACAAGAACCCUGCGCUCACGCUUCCCAACUAUAUUUCUCCUCCUUCCAUGAAGAAAAAAACCUUUUUGCCAUAUGCCAUCAACUCCUAUAAUUGUUUGCCUGAGAUGCUGUCUCCUCUGCACCAAAGCUUACUGCACAAACCAUGUAGUGGUUGCAAGUUAAUAUUAAUCUAUGUUGCUAAAAAGGUAAGAGAAUUAUAACCUUUGAAGAAAAAGAUGACAAGCAACUUGAAGUAGACAUACUGGAAGGCUUCUGAAUAGCUGGUAAUUCUUGUUUUGGUGAUUUCAUGUGUGUUUUCA